Dromaius novaehollandiae (emu) is the source of this 645-nucleotide long non-coding RNA. The record is from Ensembl. Lineage: Eukaryota; Metazoa; Chordata; Aves; Casuariiformes; Dromaiidae.
ACAGUACGUAUUAGAAACAAAAGGGUUACAGGUGAGACUUAGACUUUACUAAAGAAUCAGACUUUCAAAGGGCUGACUCUGAAUUUUAAAUUCUCGUACAUUUGUUUCAUUUUUUUUUCUUCUCUUUUUCAAGGGAAAAAAAGGUUUGGUCUCUGUGAGCUGUAAGUCACCUCUAGAGUCAGCGGUGAUACGAGAGCAUACCAUGAAAAAAAAGUGAAAUCAGCAUGAAGGCUGAAAUACUGUUUUCUUAAGGCACUGUUGGAACUGGCAAAAGGCAGAACUUUAAGAAAGUUGUUAAACCUCCUCAGAGUUGUUGAAACUCCCCGAUCUUCAGAAUGGAAUGGUGCCUGCCGUAUAGUGCAAUCACGGGAGACCACGGUCAUUUCUCAUCAAGAAAAAUGCUUUUUAAUGUGUACUUUAACUUUGCAAUAACUUCCUUUUCAAGCACAGGCCUGGCUGCCUGCCGGGUCCAGCAUCGCUCUCUGAACAGCUGAUGUCUGAGCGUCCUCCAGGCACAGCUUGCCAAAGCCUGGUCCUGCGCCUUGCACUGCUGCUUCAGCAGCCUUUGAUUACAUGACUCUGCUGUCGAUUUUCCCAUCGGAUCUUUCUCACUGCUGGUGUGAAGACUCCUGUCCUCCUUCAGGC